RNAcentral lists this long non-coding RNA (717 nucleotides) under Lactuca sativa (garden lettuce). Its description in RNAcentral is "long non-coding RNA (LSAT_LNC007766)". Lineage: Eukaryota; Viridiplantae; Streptophyta; Magnoliopsida; Asterales; Asteraceae. The record is from RNAcentral.
AAAAACUAAACCAAACUACUCAUCAAAUUAUUUGAGAUUUUUGAUUUUUGCGCAACUGGAUUGCUUAAUCGGGUAACUUCUAUUCAACUUCUGAGUUUACAGCAUCGAAUAAGGUAUUUUCUUUUUAAAACUUUAUUUAAAAUUGAUUAUUUCGUACGUUUUUAAUUCUGAUUUUCACAAAUUUGAUAUAUUUGUAUCAAUAUUAAUACAAAGUAUGUAGCUAUUUUCUGUCUUUCACAGCCAGAAGGUCAAACUGUCGGCUAUUAUGUGAUACAUACUGUUGUUUGGUUGAAGCUUUAGGCUCUUCACUUACGGAAUAUUUACUUUGACGAUACCACAUGAUAAAAGAAGAAUCGGUUACAAGACCUUUUGAUUUGGUUGCAAUAAGGUAUUAGGGAAUAACUUUCGUAAAUUUCCAGGUAGUAAAUAUUGUUGUAUAUUGAGUUUAUUUGUUAUAUUUUUUUUCACAAACAAAAUUUGAUAUAUAUUAUAAUGUUAAAAAGUCAAACAUUUGCUUAAACCUUUUUUCCUCAUCUGGAAGUUUACUUUCUUCAGCCAAAAAUAGCCACAUACUUUUAUUGAUUUGUUUAUUAUUGAUAUAACUAGGUUGAUUUUUCAAACUAUAGUGUCUUAACAAGAAAAAUCAUGAAGGUACAAUGUAGUAAUAGAAAGAAAUGCAAGUACAUGUUCCAUUUUGUUGUUAUAAUGCAAGUAAUA